RNAcentral lists this ribosomal RNA (242 nucleotides) under uncultured bacterium. RNAcentral describes it as "partial 16S ribosomal RNA". It matches the Rfam family "Bacterial small subunit ribosomal RNA", at positions 15 to 248 of the family's 1533-position model. The record is from RNAcentral.
AAUCAUGGCUCAGGAUGAACGCUAGCUACAGGCUUAACACAUGCAAGUCGAGGGGCAGCAUGACGAUAGCUUGCUAUUGUUGAUGGCGACCGGCGCACGGGUGAGUAACGCGUAUCCAACCUUCCCGUUGCUAGGGGAUAACCUUGCGAAAGUAAGACUAAUACCCUAUGAAGUUCUUCGCAGGCAUCUAAAGAGAACGAAAGAUUUAUCGGCAACGGAUGGGGAUGCGUCUGAUUAGGUUG